This 262-nucleotide unclassified non-coding RNA is filed under the name Hevea brasiliensis (rubber tree). The record is from RNAcentral. Lineage: Eukaryota; Viridiplantae; Streptophyta; Magnoliopsida; Malpighiales; Euphorbiaceae.
CCCAUGUAUUAAUGAAAAUAAAGCCACAAUGUGUUCUUCUAGUUAGUGAAUGUUAUCUAGUACUAGUAAACAAUUACUCUGUUUCUUUGAUGAUCUCUAAGUCUUGAUAAAGACUUCUACUUGGAAUCUUAGGAUGAAUUCUCUCAGCAGGAGCUGUGGAGGUAAAAGGAUUAGCAGGCGUUGUUAAAUUGCUUCCAUCUCCUUCCAACAUUUGCACAACAGUUUUCAUGGAGGGACGAUGCACUGGGUUCCAUUGAAUGCA